UGGGGAAUCUUGGACAAUGGGGGCAACCCUGAUCCAGCCAUGCCGCGUGAGUGAUGAAGGCCUUAGGGUCGUAAAGCUCUUUCGCCUGUGAAGAUAAUGACGGUAGCAGGUAAAGAAACCCCGGCUAACUCCGUGCCAGCAGCCGCGGUAAUACGGAGGGGGUUAGCGUUGUUCGGAAUUACUGGGCGUAAAGCGCACGUAGGCGGACCAGAAAGUUGGGGGUGAAAUCCCGGGGGCUCAACCCCGGAACUGCCUCCAAAACUAUUGGUCUAGAGUUCGAGAGAGGUGAGUGGAAUUCCAAGUGUAGAGGUGAAAUUCGUAGAUAUUUGGAGGAACACCAGUGGCGAAGGCGGCUCACUGGCUCGAUACUGACGCUGAGGUGCGAAAGUGUGGGGAGCAAACAGGAUUAGAUACCCUGGUAGUCCACACCGUAAAACGAUGAAUGCCAGUCGUCGGGUAGCAUGCUAUUCGGUGACACACCUAACGGAUUAAACAUUCC
This 499-nucleotide ribosomal RNA is filed under the name uncultured bacterium. RNAcentral's name for it is "bacterial SSU rRNA". It matches the Rfam family "Bacterial small subunit ribosomal RNA", at positions 355 to 870 of the family's 1533-position model. The record is from RNAcentral.